This 479-nucleotide ribosomal RNA is filed under the name uncultured bacterium. Its description in RNAcentral is "bacterial SSU rRNA". It matches the Rfam family "Bacterial small subunit ribosomal RNA", at positions 33 to 507 of the family's 1533-position model. The record is from RNAcentral.
AGACGCUGGCGGCGUGCCUAACACAUGCAAGUCGAACGGAGUUCUUAAGGAAUGCGGCUUCGGUCAAAUGACUUUUGAACUUAGUGGCGGACGGGUGAGUAACGCGUGAGCAACCUGCCUUUCAGAGGGGGAUAACAUUUGGAAACAGAUGCUAAGACCGGAUAGGUACACAGACCGCAUGGUCUGUGUAUUAAAGGAGAGAGACACUGGUGGAUGGGCUUACGGUGCAUUAGCUGGAUGGUGAGGUAACGGCCCACCAUGGCGAUGAUGCAUAGCCGGGCUGAGAGGCUGAACGGCCACAUUGGGACUGAGACACGGCCCAGACUCCUACGGGAGGCAGCAGUCGGGAAUAUUGCGCAAUGGAGGAAACUCUGACGCAGUGACGCCGCGUAUAGGAAGAAGGUUUUCGGAUUGUAAACUAUUGUCGUUAGGGAAGAAAAAGGACAGUACCUAAGGAGGAAGCUCCGGCUAACUACGUG